Molecule: ribosomal RNA, 501 nt
Filed under: uncultured bacterium
Lineage: Bacteria
Description: bacterial SSU rRNA
Rfam family: Bacterial small subunit ribosomal RNA
Source: RNAcentral
GAUGAACGCUGGCGGCGUGCCUAACACAUGCAAGUCGAACGAAGCUCCUUGACUUGAGUUUUCGGACAAGAUGAUAGGAUGACUUAGUGGCGGACGGGUGAGUAAUGCGUGAGCAACCUGCCCUUCGGAGGGGGACAACAGCUGGAAACGGCUGCUAAUACCGCAUAACGUACAGAGGUCGCAUGGCUUUUGUACCAAAGAUUUAUCGCCGAGGGAUGGGCUCACGUCUGAUUAGUUAGUUGGUGGGGUAACGGCUCACCAAGACUGCGAUCAGUAGCCGGACUGAGAGGUUGACCGGCCACAUUGGGACUGAGAUACGGCCCAGACUCCUACGGGAGGCAGCAGUGGGGAAUAUUGGGCAAUGGGCGCAAGCCUGACCCAGCAACGCCGCGUGAAGGAAGAAGGCUUUCGGGUUGUAAACUUCUUUUAUAGGGGACGAAACAAAUGACGGUACCCUAUGAAUAAGCUCCGGCUAACUACGUGCCAGCAGCCGCGGUAACA